AUUGAACGCUGGCGGCAUGCCUUACACAUGCAAGUCGAACGGCAGCGCGGGGCAACCUGGCGGCGAGUGGCGAACGGGUGAGUAACAUAUCGGAACAUACCCUAGAGUGGGGAUAACGUAGCGAAAGUUACGCUAAUACCGCAUACGCACUAAGGUGGAAAGUGGGGGAUCUUCGGACCUCAUGCUCAUGGAGUGGCCGAUAUCUGAUUAGCUAGUUGGUGAGGUAAAGGCUCACCAAGGCGACGAUCAGUAGCUGGUUUGAGAGAACGACCAGCCACACUGGAACUGUAGACACGGUCCAGACUCCUACGGAGGCAGCAGUGGGGAAUUUUGGACAAUGGGGGCAACCCUGAUCCAGCAAUGCCGCGUGAGUGAAGAAGGCCUC
RNAcentral lists this ribosomal RNA (385 nucleotides) under uncultured bacterium. Its description in RNAcentral is "bacterial SSU rRNA". It matches the Rfam family "Bacterial small subunit ribosomal RNA", at positions 30 to 418 of the family's 1533-position model. The record is from RNAcentral.